GUUUUAUUUUUGUACUAUCAAUUCCAAGUUGACUUUCCACAGCAGUCACUGAGAGUGAGAGAAGGUAUUUCACUUCGUACCUUAUCACCUAUUUUCCUACGUGAAUUCUAGGUGGAACCCCAUUCCUAACUCUUUAAAUAUUUAAUUUCCUUUGGGUCAGUGGGCAUGACUCCUUUCCGUACACAUUACUCUGUUUAAAUUGCGAUCGGUUUUAAUAUAAUACGAUGUCUAUCGACAGAACGAGUUAAUUUUUCUUGACAUAUCGUCGUUUGACGAAAGUUACUUAUGGAAGGGAGAACUCGAAGCAAUAAUAUGGAAGACUCCAUUUGACUGAAGGGCUGUUCUAGUUGCACCUUUACGUUGUGGACUACAUUUAUUUUAAUUUAAAUGAUGCAUAUGAUUUAAAAUUAUGCAACAACAAUAACCCUCAAUAGCAGACAGACAUAUAAAGGAUCUCGUGAGUUUCAAAUUAAUCAAUGGAGUGGGGAAUCCAGAGCAACCAUUCAAUCUGAUACCCCUUCAAGUCAAGAAAACUAUAUGCAUGCGCAUAAUUACCUAAACAAACCCUAGACUUGUGAUUUGUAGCAAGGACAUAUAUUAAAUGUUAAUUAAAAGACCUCCAUUUCUUUAUGGAAGUACAAUAUCAAAUAUCAGUUUCAUAACGGUGACAUAUAAGAAAACUCCACUUCAGUUCUUAUAUGACAGAAAUAGAUAUAU
Molecule: long non-coding RNA, 717 nt
Filed under: Mytilus galloprovincialis (Mediterranean mussel)
Lineage: Eukaryota; Metazoa; Mollusca; Bivalvia; Mytilida; Mytilidae
Source: RNAcentral